GUAGGCGGCUUGUCACGUCGGUUGUGAAAGCCCGGGGCUUAACCCCGGGUCUGCAGUCGAUACGGGCAGGCUAGAGUGUGGUAGGGGAGAUCGGAAUUCCUGGUGUAGCGGUGAAAUGCGCAGAUAUCAGGAGGAACACCGGUGGCGAAGGCGGAUCUCUGGGCCAUUACUGACGCUGAGGAGCGAAAGCGUGGGGAGCGAACAGGAUUAGAUACCCUGGUAGUCCACGCCGUAAACGGUGGGAACUAGGUGUUGGCGACAUUCCACGUCGUCGGUGCCGCAGCUAACGCAUUAAGUUCCCCGCCUGGGGAGUACGGCCGCAAGGCUAAAACUCAAAGGAAUUGACGGGGGCCCGCACAAGCAGCGGAGCAUGUGGCUUAAUUCGACGCAACGCGAAGAACCUUACCAAGGCUUGACAUACACCGGAAAGCAUUAGAGAUAGUGCCCCCCUUGUGGUCGGUGUACAGGUGGUGCAUGGCUGUCGUCAGCUCGUGUCGUGAGAUGUUGGGUUAAGUCCCGCAACGAGCGCAACCCUUGUUCUGUGUUGCCAGCAUGCCCUUCGGGGUGAUGGGGACUCACAGGAGACUGCCGGGGUCAACUCGGAGGAAGGUGGGGACGACGUCAAGUCAUCAUGCCCCUUAUGUCUUGGGCUGCACACGUGCUACAAUGGCAGGUACAAAGAGCUGCGAAGCCGCGAGGCGGAGCGAAUCUCAAAAAGCCUGUCUCAGUUCGGAUUGGGGUCUGCAACUCGACCCCAUGAAGUCGGAGUUGCUAGUAAUCGCAGAUCAGCAUUGCUGCGGUGAAUACGUUCCCGGGCCUUGUACACACCGCCCGUCACGUCACGAAAGUCGGUAACACCCGAAGCCGGUGGCCCAACCCCUUGUGGGAGGGAGCUGUCGAAGGUGGGACUGGCGAUUGCCACUAAGUCGUACUCAAGGUAGCAGUACUCUCAAUACA
This 957-nucleotide ribosomal RNA is filed under the name actinobacterium SAUE52-15. Its description in RNAcentral is "bacterial SSU rRNA". It matches the Rfam family "Bacterial small subunit ribosomal RNA", at positions 571 to 1533 of the family's 1533-position model. Lineage: Bacteria; Bacillati; Actinomycetota; Actinomycetes. The record is from RNAcentral.